UACGAAGGGGGCUAGCGUUGCUCGGAAUCACUGGGCGUAAAGGGUGCGUAGGCGGGUCUUUAAGUCAGGGGCGAAAUCCUGGAGCUCAACUCCAGAACUGCCUUUGAUACUGAAGAUCUUGAGUUCGGGAGAGGUGAGUGGAACUGCGAGUGUAGAGGUGAAAUUCGUAGAUAUUCGCAAGAACACCAGUGGCGAAGGCGGCUCACUGGCCCGAUACUGACGCUGAGGCACGAAAGCGUGGGGAGCAAACAGG
Molecule: ribosomal RNA, 253 nt
Filed under: uncultured bacterium
Lineage: Bacteria
Description: partial 16S ribosomal RNA
Rfam family: Bacterial small subunit ribosomal RNA
Source: RNAcentral